RNAcentral lists this ribosomal RNA (491 nucleotides) under uncultured bacterium. RNAcentral's name for it is "partial 16S ribosomal RNA". It matches the Rfam family "Bacterial small subunit ribosomal RNA", at positions 29 to 507 of the family's 1533-position model. The record is from RNAcentral.
GUGAACGCUGGCGGUAGGCCUAACCCAUGCAAGUCGAACGGCAGCACAGUAAGAGCUUGCUCUUACGGGUGGCGAGUGGCGGACGGGUGAGGAAUACAUCGGAAUCUACCUUUUCGUGGGGGAUAACGUAGGGAAACUUACGCUAAUACCGCAUACGACCUACGGGUGAAAGCAGGGGAUCUUCGGACCUUGCGCGAUUGAAUGAGCCGAUGUCGGAUUAGCUAGUUGGCGGGGUAAAGGCCCACCAAGGCGACGAUCCGUAGCUGGUCUGAGAGGAUGAUCAGCCACACUGGAACUGAGACACGGUCCAGACUCCUACGGGAGGCAGCAGUGGGGAAUAUUGGACAAUGGGCGCAAGCCUGAUCCAGCCAUACCGCGUGGGUGAAGAAGGCCUUCGGGUUGUAAAGCCCUUUUGUUGGGAAAGAAAAGCAGCAGGUUAAUACCCCGCUGUUCUGACGGUACCCAAAGAAUAAGCACCGGCUAACUUCGUG